This is a long non-coding RNA of Eurytemora carolleeae, 885 nucleotides long. RefSeq lists it as uncharacterized. The transcript is spliced from 3 exons. The record is from RefSeq and is a predicted model, not a curated record. NCBI's taxonomy places the organism in Eukaryota, Metazoa, Arthropoda, Copepoda, Calanoida, Temoridae.
UUUUUCAUAAUUUAAAAUGAAUUAUUCUUGUUUCAGAGAUAUAAAGAGAUCAUAAGAAAAAAUGGGAGCAAUCAACAUCGAAUAUUAUCCAGUUGACACGAAUUUCUGGACUGUAGCAGUGUUCGGGCUCGGGUUCACAUUCGUACUAUUUGUUGUUCACUCUAUAUACACACUCUGGAAAUCCAAGGAUCCCAGCACUGUAUACCAACACAACCAAUCCUUAGCAGCUAGCACUCAUAUUUACUGAUAUACACAGCAUAACAGAGGGAACAAGAAGGAUGGUGAAUAACGACAUAAAAACGGAAAAAAUCUUUGAAAAUCAAAAUUAGUUGAUCUCUGUAUAUAAAGUAGUAAUCUCUGUUUGUAUAUCCGAUCAUAACUCAUAAACCCCGUGACUGAUUUGCUUCAAAUUUCAAUUGGUGACAUCAGAAGAACCACAUUAAUGUUUUAUUUAAAAACUAGAAUUAAAAUCUUAAAUUAAGUUAGUUGAGUUUUUUUCCUGGACAACUUAAUUUUCAGGCAAAGCUGGGUUCCCAAACUUGAUGAGAAGUUAAAUGAUAAACGAAAUAUCUAUACUACAUCAUCUAAGAUCCUGAAAAGCUAUAAAUUGGAAUUUUUAAGAACCUUUCACACAUUUGCUAAACUAUUGCAUCAAUUCAAAAAGGUAUAAAAGUAAAUUAUAGGGAUCUAUUAGACUUUUGGCAUGAUAAUAUAUACACUCUGUAUAAUACCCACAAAGGAUAGGACUUCAGAGAUGAGGGCAACAAUUACCCCCCCCCCCAGCUUUCCUUAGAAAACAUUAAAAUUCAUCUAACCUAACAUUGUUUAACAUUCUCCAUUGUUAUUUAAAUAUAUAUUAUAUCAAUAAAAAAUAAUUGUACAAAU